Molecule: transfer RNA, 69 nt
Filed under: Rattus norvegicus (Norway rat)
Lineage: Eukaryota; Metazoa; Chordata; Mammalia; Rodentia; Muridae
Rfam family: tRNA
About the family: Transfer RNA (tRNA) molecules are approximately 80 nucleotides in length. Their secondary structure includes four short double-helical elements and three loops (D, anti-codon, and T loops).
Source: Rfam by way of RNAcentral
GGGGAUUUAGCUCAGUGGUAGAGCUCUUGCCUAGCAAGUACAAGGCCCUGGGUUCGGUCCCCAGCUCCG